RNAcentral lists this ribosomal RNA (465 nucleotides) under uncultured bacterium. RNAcentral describes it as "bacterial SSU rRNA". It matches the Rfam family "Bacterial small subunit ribosomal RNA", at positions 338 to 795 of the family's 1533-position model. The record is from RNAcentral.
CCUACGGGGUGCAGCAGUGGGGAAUAUUGCACAAUGGGCGCAAGACUGAUGCAGCCAUGCCGCGUGUGUGAAGAAGGCCUUCGGGUUGUAAAGCACUUUCAGCGGGGAGGAAGGCGUCAAGGUUAAUAACCUUGGCGAUUGACGUUACCCGCAGAAGAAGCACCGGCUAACUCCGUGCCAGCAGCCGCGGUAAUACGGAGGGUGCAAGCGUUAUUCGGAAUUACUGGGCGUAAAGCGCACGCAGGCGGUCUGUCAAGUCGGAUGUGAAAUCCCCGGGCUCAACCUGGGAACUGCAUUCGAAACUGGCAGGCUAGAGUCUUGUAGAGGGGGGUAGGAUUCCAGGUGUAGCGGUGAAAUGCGUAGAGAUCUGGAGGAGUACCGGUGGCGAAGGCGGCCCCCUGGACAAAGACUGACGCUCAGGUGCGAAAGCGUGGGGAGCAAACAGGAUUAGAUACCCUUGUAGUC